RNAcentral lists this ribosomal RNA (425 nucleotides) under uncultured bacterium. RNAcentral describes it as "bacterial SSU rRNA". It matches the Rfam family "Bacterial small subunit ribosomal RNA", at positions 358 to 774 of the family's 1533-position model. The record is from RNAcentral.
GGAAUCUUCGGCAAUGGGGGCAACCCUGACCGAGCAACGCCGCGUGAGUGAAGAAGGUUUUCGGAUCGUAAAGCUCUGUUGUAAGAGAAGAACGUGUGUGAGAGUGGAAAGUUCACACAGUGACGGUAACUUACCAGAAAGGGACGGCUAACUACGUGCCAGCAGCCGCGGUAAUACGUAGGUGGCGAGCGUUAUCCGGAUUUACUGGGUGUAAAGGGCGCGUAGGCGGGGGUGCAAGUCAGAUGUGAAAUCUAUGGGCUCAACUCAUAAACUGCAUUUGAAACUGUACUUCUUGAGUACUGGAGAGGUAGACGGAAUUCCUUGUGUAGCGGUGAAAUGCGUAGAUAUAAGGAAGAACACCAGUGGCGAAGGCGGUCUACUGGACAGCAACUGACGCUGAGGCGCGAAAGCGUGGGGAGCUAACA